GACGAACGCUGGCGGUGUGCUUAAUACAUGCAAGUCAACUGAACUUAGGAUAGCAAUAUUUUAAGGGAGGUGGCGCACGGGUGAGUAACACGUAGGUAAUCUGCCUUUAGGUCUGACAUAACCUACCGAAAGGUAGGCUAAAAUCAGAUGAUGCAGCGGCUCGACAUCGAGACAGUUGUUAAAUCUUCGGAGCCUAAAGAUGAGCCUGCGUCUGAUUAGGUAGUUGGCGGUGUAAUGGACCACCAAGCCUGCGAUCAGUAGCUGGUCUGAGAGGAUGAUCAGCCACACUGGAACUGAGACACGGUCCAGACUCCUACGGGAGGCAGCAGUAAGGAAUAUUGCUCAAUGGCCGAAAGGCUGAAGCAGCAACGCCGCGUGGAGGAUGAAAUACUUUGUAUGUAAACUCCUGUAAGAAGGGAAAAUGUUCCGAUUCAUCGGAAUUGAUUGUACCUUCAGAGUAA
Molecule: ribosomal RNA, 461 nt
Filed under: uncultured bacterium
Lineage: Bacteria
Description: bacterial SSU rRNA
Rfam family: Bacterial small subunit ribosomal RNA
Source: RNAcentral